CGCGUGUGUGAUGAAGGCCUUAGGGUCGUAAAGCACUUUCGCCAGAGAUGAUAAUGACAGUAUCUGGUAAAGAAACCCCGGCUAACUCCGUGCCAGCAGCCGCGGUAAUACGGAGGGGGUUAGCGUUGUUCGGAAUUACUGGGCGUAAAGCGCACGUAGGCAGAUUAGUAAGUUAGAGGUGAAAUCCCAGGGCUCAACCCUGGAACUGCCUUUAAUACUGCUAAGUCUUGAGUUUCGAGAGAGGUAAGUGGAAUUCCGAGUGUAGAGGUGAAAUUCGUAAGAUAUUUCGGAGGAACACCAGUGGCGAAGGCGGCUUACUGGCUCGAUACUGACGCUGAGGUGCGAAAGUGUGGGGAGCAAACCAGGGAUU
This 370-nucleotide ribosomal RNA is filed under the name uncultured Paracoccaceae bacterium. Its description in RNAcentral is "bacterial SSU rRNA". It matches the Rfam family "Bacterial small subunit ribosomal RNA", at positions 398 to 779 of the family's 1533-position model. The record is from RNAcentral. Lineage: Bacteria; Pseudomonadati; Pseudomonadota; Alphaproteobacteria; Rhodobacterales; Paracoccaceae.